Styela clava is the source of this 1122-nucleotide non-coding RNA. NCBI's taxonomy places the organism in Eukaryota, Metazoa, Chordata, Ascidiacea, Stolidobranchia, Styelidae. The record is from RefSeq and is a predicted model, not a curated record.
UUGGGUAAAACAAGCUCAAGGAUUAUUGUUUUCCCUUUUUGUUUUUGUAACACUUUAAAUAAAAUUUUGUUUCUAAAGUAUAACUUUUUACGCCACACAUGCGAGAUGCGACAUGGCCCGCCAGUCUAGGUGCGCAAAAUUUUUGCACGUGGUCCGAGAACUUUGCCCAACACUGCUCUAAUUCAUAUUUUCAGCUUUGUUGAGAAAUAAAUUACUGAUUUUUGAAUAAUAUCUAUUUUGUUUUAAAAUUCAAUAGAAUUAUAUUGGGUAAUCAUAUAUAUUAAUAUGAUUUAUUUUCAGUAUGUAUGCUAUGUAAGCUUACCCAACCAACCUUAAUUAAGUGUUAUUAUAUUUUAAAGUGAAUUGGAAAGUAGACCGCUAGCAAAAAAGAUUCGGGCGAUUGGGGGGAAGCCCAUCUCUGUACAAUGACUGCCAAAUGUGCAUGCAACUGUGCAAUGCCCAGCGACUCUAAAAGCAUGAAGUAGGCUAUUGUACGACACAUCCUUUACAAAUAUUUGGACAUAUUUUGUGCCCUAUGACAAUGGACUGGAAAAUUCACCUGCUUCAAUUCCCUCUUUCACGCACUCAUACACUGUGUCAUUUCAAGCAUCUCAAUGUUUCAAUGCGGACAAUGCCCAAAACAGAGAUCAAGCCAUGCUCCAAUCCAGUCCAUGGAAAAAUUGUUGGGACAGGCGGUAGAAACUCUUAUGCUACAAGCUACGGCAUCUGCAACUUUCCACUGAUUAUAGUGUGGACUCGGACAUACAGGAAUUGAUGAAAUUCAUUGUCAGAUUACAUUUUGAUCCAGAAUAUUCAAGGAUGAAAAAAUGGCUCAUAAGAUAUUUGUCAAGUCUCGGAGGUUGCUCCAAGAAAGACUGGUUUGGAGAAUCAUGAGCUCGGUUAUAACAAAUUUACUCUCCCGCUCUUUCAACUGUGCAGGACGCGGUGGAUAAGAAGGAGUGAGUGGGACGCCCUUAGUUUCUGCUAUUAAAGCUCUGGAUGAUCUGGCAACGAACUACGAUUAAUUUUAUUACAUGUAUACAUAUUUGUAAAAUAAAGACAUUUUGUUAUCUUUUGUUUUUUAUUAUAUAAAUAAUGUUAGAUUAAUGGGAAAUUUCUAUG